CCUACGGGUGGCAGCAGUGAGGAAUAUUGGUCAAUGGACGGAAGUCUGAACCAGCCAUGCCGCGUGCAGGAAGACGGCUCUCUGAGUUGUAAACUGCUUUUGUACAAGGGUAAACCUGAAUACGUGUAUUCAGCUGAAUGUACUGUACGAAUAAGGAUCGGCUAACUCCGGGCCAGCAGCGGCGGUAAUACGGAGGAUCCAAGCGUUAUCCGGAUUUAUUGGGUUUAAAGGGUGCGUAGGCGGAUUGUUAAGUUAGAGGUGAAAUGUCCGAGCUUAACUCGGGAACUGCAUCUAAUACUGUUGAGCUAGAGAGUAGAUGCGGUAGGCGGAAUGUAUGGUGUAGCGGUGAAAUGCUUAGAGAUCAUACAGAACACCGAUUGCGAAGGCAGCUUACCAAUCUAUAACUGACGUUGAGGCACGAAAGCGUGGGGAGCAAACAGGAUUAGAUACCCUUGUAGUC
This 460-nucleotide ribosomal RNA is filed under the name uncultured bacterium. RNAcentral's name for it is "partial 16S ribosomal RNA". It matches the Rfam family "Bacterial small subunit ribosomal RNA", at positions 338 to 795 of the family's 1533-position model. The record is from RNAcentral.